AGUGAACGCUGGCGGUAGGCCUAACACAUGCAAGUCGAACGGCAGCACAGUAAGAGCUUGCUCUUACGGGUUGCGAGUGGCGGACGGGUGAGGAACACAUCGGAAUCUACUUUUUCGUGGGGGAUAACGUAGGUAAACUUACGCUAAUACCGCAUACGACCUACGGGUGAAAGCAGUGGAUCUUCGGACCUUGCGCGAUUGAAUGAGCCGAUGUCGGAUUAGCUAGUUGGCGGGGUAAAGGCCCACCAAGGCGACGAUCCGUAGCUGGUCUGAGAGGAUGAUAAGCCACACUGGAACUGAGACACGGUCCAGACUCCUACGGGAGGCAGCAGUGGGGAAUAUUGGACAAUGGGCGCAAGCCUGAUCCAGCCAUACCGCGUGGGUGAAGAAGGCCUUCGGGUUGUAAAGCCCUUUUGUUGGGAAAGAAAAGCAGCAGGUUAAGACCCCGCUGUUCUGACGGUACCCAAAGAAUAAGCACCGGCUAACUUCGUG
RNAcentral lists this ribosomal RNA (492 nucleotides) under uncultured bacterium. RNAcentral describes it as "partial 16S ribosomal RNA". It matches the Rfam family "Bacterial small subunit ribosomal RNA", at positions 29 to 507 of the family's 1533-position model. The record is from RNAcentral.